AUCGCUCGGCUGAAGCGUAGUAUACGAGAGAAAAACGCCCGCUUCCAGCCCGAUGAGAGCAGGUAUAAUAGCAGGCUAUAAGCCAGCUAUAAAUAUAUUUUAAAGAGAUAAAGGAAGAGAGGGAAGAGCAGCGGGCUACAGAUCUGUAGUCAGCUGCGGCACGGACUCCAAGACGUAAUGUGUGUAUGACAGGUAGGACCAGGUAUUAAUAGUAUAGUAAGCAACUAUUAUAUAAAUUGGCUAUUACAUUGGCUAUAGAUGAUUUGGAGCUAGUAGUUGGCUAUACUAUUAAACUUGCUCUGAGAGCGCUAAGCCGCCGCUUCGUUCCUCUCCCUCCGAUCCCGUGCAUCUCUGCCGCCGCCCCCAACCUCACUUCCUCCGCGCGCCAAAUCCCCCCACCUCCUACUAAAAUCGAGUCCUCCCGCUCAAAUCUGCAAUAAAACCCUCCCAAAUCCACUCCCAUGCCACCAAAUUCGUCCCCAAAUCGCCUACUCUCAAACCCUAGACCCUAAAUUUGUCCUCAAACCUCAUCAAGAUGAGGCAGCAAUACAAAAGGACGCUUGCGCCGGCGUCUCUGGAGGUCCCUCCGCCAGCGACUUUGCCUGUCACGCCGGUGGCGACUCAGCCCUUGACACCACCGCCACCUCAGUUCGUCCUUGCCGCCGUCCUUUUUUUCCACCUACAUACCUGAUGGCUGGUUCCCCGCAGUAACACCGCAAUCCAUUGUGACCUCCUCCUCACCAUGCUUGCUCGCUGGGUUACGACAACCAGGCAUAGUGAGUUCGUCGGCUCAAGGCCCUGCAUUAGUGCCUCUGCAUAUCCUGCCCCAAGUGCUGAGAAUGCCGAGAAUCCCAAUGUUCAAGCACGAUAUGAUCUAGCCCUUACCGUCUUUAUUUUUCUUAGUUUGUUAAUCCUGCUCGAAGUGUAUGUAUGAUUUUGUUGUGAUAUGUCCUAUUGAUCUGUUCAAGGCUUCACGUCCAUACAUGUCAAACUCAAUUCACUGAAUAGCUCCUGUUGUGUCAUUUAUUUAGGGGGUAUAUGGAUCAGAUUAGCUCCCAAAUCCAUCGGAUCAUGCUGACAAUGCUGCUUGAAAACAAUGGUACCUGGGUAUAAAGAUGAACAUGUUGCUUGAACAUAUGUGGUAUGCAUGUUACUCGAAAUUAAUUAAUUAUAUGUUUCUAUGUUUGUUAUCAAUAUGAUAUCAAUAUGAUUGUUAUUUCAAGUGUGAUAUCAAUAUGAUUGUUAUUUCAUAAAUCUUGAUAUAUUUUCCUGUUAU
Molecule: long non-coding RNA, 1276 nt
Filed under: Oryza sativa (Asian cultivated rice)
Lineage: Eukaryota; Viridiplantae; Streptophyta; Magnoliopsida; Poales; Poaceae
Description: long non-coding RNA (OSAT_LNC001278)
Source: RNAcentral